RNAcentral lists this ribosomal RNA (253 nucleotides) under uncultured bacterium. RNAcentral describes it as "partial 16S ribosomal RNA". It matches the Rfam family "Bacterial small subunit ribosomal RNA", at positions 524 to 776 of the family's 1533-position model. The record is from RNAcentral.
UACGGGGGGGGCAAGCGUUGUUCGGAAUUACUGGGCGUAAAGGGCUCGUAGGCGGCCAACUAAGUCCGACGUGAAAUCCCCAGGCUCAACCUGGGAACUGCGUCGGAUACUGGAUGGCUUGAAUUCGGGAGAGGGAUGCAGAAUUCCAGGUGUAGCGGUGAAAUGCGUAGAUAUCUGGAGGAAUACCGGUGGCGAAGGCGGCAUCCUGGACCGACAUUGACGCUGAUGAGCGAAAGCUAGGGGAGCAAACGGG